Hylaeus anthracinus is the source of this 725-nucleotide long non-coding RNA. RefSeq lists it as uncharacterized. NCBI's taxonomy places the organism in Eukaryota, Metazoa, Arthropoda, Insecta, Hymenoptera, Colletidae. The transcript has 5 exons. The record is from RefSeq and is a predicted model, not a curated record.
AUGAACUGUGAAAACAUUGUUGAAACCCUUGGUGAUCGAAAGAAGACCCAUGUUAACAUUGACAGUGCAUUUCGUUUAGCUCCCACGCAAACCUCACCAAAUGAAACCAUCCGAAACAAAGAGUGGGUGCAAAGAGAGACCGGGGGAAUCCAAGAGAAGUAACCAAAAAGUACGUGCACCGUGAAAAUGGAAAUGGGUUGGAAAGUCUCAAACAAAAGAAAGUCAUCGAAGGGAGUGCGAAGAAAUAAAAGAAUACAUGGAACGCCUGGUGAUGAAGCGAUACAGUGCUGUUAAACGAAGAGCGUUAGUCAGAGAGGGAGACAUUCAAUGGAGUUAAUCUGUGUCGCAGUGCGAAUAGCGAUAAUCCCACCCCGUAGAUGAACGUUAGGAAUGGUCACAUUGAGGAGCUGAUCUGUUUACAUUGGACGAGGACGUACGGGAUACGGAACAGCCAGAAGAAGACAGAACAAGGACAGAGAGACAAGAGCACAACACAACAAACUGGGCCCGGCGACGGUGACUGAUGGUAUUUCAGGCAUUAGCCCUUUCUCAUGUCCGGUGUUUCGGAUACAAGUAUAGUAUAAUCGGAAAGAAGUGGAUACUGAAACUUUUCAUGGCGAGUUAAGAAUCUGGUUUGACUCGAAUGAAGCUUUAGUACCUGCGUCUAGGAUGAUGUCUCCUACGUCACCCUCCCUGUCAUCGUCAUCAUCAAAGUCACCGCCGAC